Molecule: long non-coding RNA, 577 nt
Organism: Panicum hallii
Lineage: Eukaryota; Viridiplantae; Streptophyta; Magnoliopsida; Poales; Poaceae
Exons: 2
Source: RefSeq, a predicted model, not a curated record
UCAUUCCUGAGCCGCCGGGCGAAGCGACGGAGCGAGAGGCGGUCGGUCGCCCCUGCCGCUGCCGCUCGGUCGGGGCCUCGAGCGCAGCCGGCGAUGGCAGCGCGCCUGCACGGAGGCUAGCCGUGCGUCCGCCUAGGGCUGGGCUGUGGGAUCGCCUGGCGCCUGGAGGCGAGGAGGGAGGCCGAUGGGAUUGAUGAGGUCUUGGCUGUCCCGGGUUCAUCGAAUGGGCUGCGUGGCCGUUGUUAAUCUUGGACAUCCGGUAUAUAGAUGCUGGAAAUAUGAAGUCAACGUGUCAGUACAAAGAGGUGCUUUUUUCUAUUUGAGUGCUUGAUGCUGUGGCUCUUUUCAAACAAUCAUUUAUGGACAUCAGAGAUACAACAACGGGUUUUUCAUUUUUUUUUUGCGCACACAGUAUGGGAAGAUAUAGCUACAGAAUUUGUACCUGGCUUUUUUUUUAUCGUUUUAAAGUGUUGGAAUCUUGCUUUGUUAAGGUGCUUUGUAGCAUUGGCUCUGCUCUGAUGUAAUGGUGAACUGCUAGUAUGUAUACCUAGAAUGUAGACGCUGGGGUAAUUUUUUA